Molecule: transfer RNA, 55 nt
Filed under: Elusimicrobiota bacterium
Lineage: Bacteria; Pseudomonadati; Elusimicrobiota
Description: Elusimicrobia bacterium (aquatic metagenome) tRNA-Val
Rfam family: tRNA
About the family: Transfer RNA (tRNA) molecules are approximately 80 nucleotides in length. Their secondary structure includes four short double-helical elements and three loops (D, anti-codon, and T loops).
Source: RNAcentral
UGGCGCAGGGGGAGCGCGCCUCCCUUACAAGGAGGAGGUCGCAGGUUCAAAUCCU